GUGUCAUUUAAGACUGCCUUGUGGUUUUGGAUGACCUAUGUGCACCCAGUUAUGAACCAAGGUUUUGGUGCAACAAUUCAGAGAAUCAAUGGAGCCAUUGAAUGCGGUGGCAAGCAACCUGCUCAGGUUCAAGCUCGCAACGGAUAUUAUAAGGAUUAUUGCAACAAAUUUGGUGUUGCUCCUGGCCCAAAUCUCUAUUGUUAAGAUGUUUUCGCCGAUACUUCACUGGCUUGUGGAAAUAAUGUGGCGUAAUUUUAUAAUAUAGGGUGGUUUCAUGUAUCGAAAACAAAAUAAAUUGAAGAAAUAAAAGUGUGUUCCUAAUGUGGUGUAAUUUUAUAAAAUAGGGUGGUUUCAUGUACCUAAAACAAAAUAAAUUGAAGAAAUAAAAGGGUGUUGCCGACCAUAUUUUAUUGCUUAUAUGGUUUGUGAUUAAUUAUGCUUCUUGGAGAAACUCCACCUUGAUUUAGCUUUGGCUUUUUUAGGAAAAGCAAUAUGAUAGAUGUUUGUCAGUGAAAAAAGAAACUAACUUUAUACAAAGAGCAAUACUAGCUUUAGUGAUUGAUUGAGUGUCGGAUUGGACACCAACUUUAAGUAACCCAGCUUUUUCAUAACAUAAUAUUUGUAACAUAGGACUUAAAAAAUAUGAUGAAUUAAUAACUUAAUAAAUGUAACAAAUAUUUUGAUAAUAUGUGUAUCAUAAAAAGAAUGUAACAAAGUAUUUGACAACAAUAAUUGGUUCAGAACAAGACAAUGUUUCCAUGGAAUUAUGAGAAGAAUCGUGUUAGAGAUUAGGACAAAGGAAACUGCGCGACAACUUUCGUACCGUAGUAUCACAGUGGCGCCUUUUUUUCAAUCUUUUGCAAUACUAAAUUUUAUUUGGCCUCCUUACUUUCUUAUGUAUUUUCAAUUUAUUAAAUAAAUCAACACAUUUAUAAAGAUGGCUGAUAGCCGGCACCGGGCAGCUUUUAUCGGGGUUGCCAGUAAGCUAAAUCAAUUUUGGAGGAGCAUAAAACUUCAGCUUUAUGAAUAACAUUAUUUUAUUGCAUUUACUCUACUAAUUUUAUGGCUUUGAACCCUUUGUUUGACAAGAAAUAUUUGUGUCGGAUCAUCGCACCACCUCAAUCAUACCAUUUAGAGACUUAUUAUUCUGUCACAUAACCCAAUAGUAUUGGAUUUUUUCCAACAAAUUUAACAUACUAAGAUAGUAGGACAACCUUACAAAAAAAUUUUGAGUUAAUAGUGCUAAAUGGUAUUAUAAUCAAAAGUGGGUCUUGGUAUCUUUUAUUAAAAAUUUUAGAUCUACAUAACCAUUUCUCUAAACCUUGAGGAUGUAGGUAUCUUUUUCCCUAAAGUAAAAGAUUCUCUUAUUAUAAGAUUAAAAUUACUCAUAGUGAUAAUAUUAUAAUCUAUUGACAUUUUUUUUUUCAAUUAGACCAAAUUAUAAUAUUUUUUAUAAUAAGGUAAAGCAGUGCUAAGUCUUUAAACUUCUGAUGAUUUCAAUUUAUUCAAUAAAUAUAUAAUCUCUAACUCUAAUUGAAGAAAAAAAAAAGGUUGAAUUGGGGACAUAUUUAAAAGUAAAAUAAAUAUUGUUUUAUGAAAAAUUAUAAAAAAUUAAGGGGUUUAAGCAAAAAUUUUCGAGGCCUGGGUCCGCCCCCAAAGGAACAGUCACUUUUGGUCAAUUUAAUUUGAAAGUUCCACAAAUAAUAAUGCUAAAUCAAAUUCAGUUGUAAAUGAACAAGAACAAGACGAGAAUUUGGGCGACAAUUAGGGAACAAGAUGAAAUGAAGGUGAGAUGAGAUGAAGAUGAUUUUGAGAAGAAGAGAGAGAUUUGGAAUUUGGGCCGGAUUGUUUUUAAGUUCUGAAAUAUGUUUUAGAGGGUAUAAUGUUAAUAACCAAAUAACAACAUCCUACCGUUGAAACUACUUUUUCAUGUAUACAGCUGAAGUAUCAUAAUGAAAAAAUUUGACACAUGUUGCAAUUGUUUCAAAGUAAUUGAAUCCUAUAUGAUUAUUAUUUUGCAACAAGCUAUAUAUAAACAAUAAUUUACUUAAGGGUGGGCAAUGAGACGAUUUGAUUAGGUAUUGGGCCGAAUCCAAAACUUUAGUUUGGUUCAGUACUGAAUUCUUGAAAAAUCAAUAGGAAUAGAAUUAGAACUAAGAUUUUCGAUUUAGUUUGGUCCUUUAAAUAUUUAUAAAAUUUUUUAAUUUUUUUACAAAAUUUAAUAUUUUUUAUUUAAUUUCUUAUAUUCUCUUAGAUCAUGCUAUGUAGCAUUACUUAAAUAUAAAAUAACGUCAUUUUUUUUCUGCUUCGGUUCUAAUUAUGAGAAUUUAAUUCAAUUUCAUAUUUGUUUUAUCAACUUUUUUUAAAGAAAAUGUCCCUUGAGUUUACCUAUAAGAAAAUAGACAUCGUUCAAGAAUGAAAGUUUAGAAAAUUGACUAGACUUUUCAAGUCUUUAAAAGAUAUUGUUUUAUAUGUAGGUUAUGCUAACUUCUUGCUUACGAGAAUUUUCAAGUCUUUAGAAGAUAUUGUUUCAUAUGUAGGUUAUGCUAACUUGUUGCCUACGUAAACGAGCUAAGGAUACUAUUCCUCGAAAUAAUUAUCCAGAAGAAAAAGUUUGAUCUAUUAAUUAAAAUUAGGGAGAAUGAUGCUCGAUCUAUCUUAUAAUUUAUUUUUACAACUUGAGUUCCAAUGAAAUUUAUUACUCAUUUUGUUCCAACUUUUAAACAGUGACAAAAAAUAUGCAUUAUUAAAGGAUAAAUGAGAACUUUUCACGUACAAUUUUGAUAGAUCUGCAAAAGAAAAAAAAUGAAGAAGAGGAAGUGUUUUUACUGUAAGAAACAAGGCCAUUACAUUAGAGAUUGUUCUGAGAAAAAGAAAUAUGAUAAAGAGAGAAUAUGAGAUGCAGCAGUGGCCUCAGAUGAUUUAUCUGAUGAUGGAUACCAUAGUGCUGACUUGUUGGUAGCCUUAAACAACAACAUUAGAGGUUAUUAGGUCCUUGAUUUAGAUUGUUCCUUUCAUUUGUGUCCUGAUAGAAGUUUUUUUUAUGAGUAUGAAUAUGUGGAUAGUGGUAGAGUUUUGAUGGGAAACAACAAUGUGUGUAAGAUUUUUGGUAUAGGGUUUAUCAAAAUAGAGAUGUUUGAUGGGAUUGUUAUAACUCUAUGUGAUGUGAGACAUACACCUAGGCUAAAGAGGAACUUAAUCUCUUUAGGCAUGCUGGAUAGUACAUGAUACUUCUUCAAAUUUGAAAAUAGUGGUUUAAAGAUUAUGAAAAGGACUGAGAUGGUAAUGAAAGGGAUUAAGAAAAAUGGUCUUUAUAUAUUAGAAGGAUCAUCAGUGCUUGUGUCAACUAUAAUGACAACUAUUUCUGAGCUUGAUAGAACUAUGUUAUGACAUCUUAGACCUGACCAUAUGAGUAUUAGGGGAAUGCAAAAAUUAAGUAUUCAAGGGUUGCUCUGUGGUGACAAAAUAAUUGAGUUAGACUUAUGUGAAAACUGUAUUUUUAGCAAAGCACACAUGUCAAAUUUACUAAAGGGAUGCAUGUGUCUAAACAACCUUUAGACUAUGUGCAUGCUGAUCUUUGAGCGCCUGGUCAGGUCUCUUCUCUAAGUGGUGGAAAGUACUUUAUAUCUGUGAUAAAUGAUUACUCCAGAAAGGUUUGGGUAUAUAUAUUUGAAAACCAAAGAUCAAGUCUUUGAAAAGUUUAAAGUCUUGAAGGCUUUGGUGGAGGCUCAAUAUGGUUUCAAAGUGAAAUGCCUUAGGACAGACAAUGAACUUGAAUUCUGUAAUAAAGAGUUUAAAGUUUUUUUUUUAUCAAGAAUGAGGGAUUAAGAGGCAUAAGACGGUAAGGCUCACCCCUCAGCAAAAUGGCUUAGUUGAAAAGAUGAACAGAACCCUUGUUUAUAAGACAAGAUGCUUAUUGAUCAAUUAUUAAUUACCAAGGAGUUUUUGGGUUGAAGCUAUCUCAACAGCCUGUUAUCUCAUUAAUAGAAGUCCAUCAUCAGCCAUUGGGUUCAAAACUCCAUAAGAAGUCUAGUCUGGAAAACUUGCAAGCUAUAAAUAUCUCAGGGUAUUUGGGCAUCCUACGUAUGUUCAUAUUAGACAAGGGAAGCUUGAUGCACAAGCUGUCAAAUGAGCAUUUGUUCGUUAUAUAGAUGGGGUUAAAGGCUACAGAGUUUGGUGUGGAAAAGCUAAUAAGUGUUUAAUUAUUUAUUCUGUUUAAUGAAGUUGUUGUAAUCAAUAAGUCUGAUCAAGUAACUUCUGAUACUGAUAUUAAUGUAAAUAAGACACUGACUACUGGAGUCAUUAAUCAAGGUGUUAAUAUUGAGGUAGAGUUGUCUAGUGCUCAUAAAGAUGAAGUACAACCAGAAGCUGUUGAAGAUUAUUCUCAAGAUACAGUAGUAAUUGAAGAUGCAGCACCACAAGUUACUGAUCUGCAAUAAUAUCAAUUAGAUAUGGACAUAUAAAGAAGACAUAUCAUACCCCCAAAAAGGUAUGCAUAUACAGACAUAGUUGCAUAUGCAUUGACGAGUGUAGAGGAUGUUUCAAUUGAAAAGCCUAGCAGCUACGCAAAAGCACUAAGUACAACAAUAACUAGAUUAAAGCAAUAAGGGAAGAGAUGGAUUCUCUGGUAAGGAAUCAGACAUGGACAUUGGUUUCUAAUCCAAGAAAUAGGAAAAUUGUCAGCUGCAAAUGGAUAUUCAAGAAGAAUGAGGGUAUUCCAUGUGUUAAAGACUCAAGAUAUAUGGCAAGACUUGUGGCAAGGGGUUUCAAAAUGAGGGGUAUAUUUUAAUGAAAUCUUCUCACAUGCUGUAAAACACAAAUCAAUUAGAACCUUACUUGUUAUGGUGACUUUGCUUCAUGUAGAGCUUGAACAAAUGGAUAUAAAGACUGCCUUCUUACAUGAUAAUCUUGAAGAAAAGAUAUUAAUGUCACAGCCUGAAGGUUUUUAAGUAAAGGGACAUAAGGAUUAUGUAUGUCUUCUGCAUAAGUCUCUAUAUGGCUUGAAAGGGUCUCCUAGGCAAUGUAAGAGAUUUGACCAGUUUAUGAUCUCUAAUGGCUAUUACAAGAGCACAUAUGAUAAUUGUAUCUUGUUGAGUGUUAGAAAAUAUAUAUUUAUAAAGGAGAAAAUCGUCAUUUUACAUUUCAAGUCUUAUUAACACCCUUACUUUUAUGUAUUUUAAGUUUCUUGUGAUUCAAUUAUAUAUGUUUUAUUUUAAUUAAGUAUUUUAUGUAUUUUAGGGACAUCAUGGUCAUUUCACAAUGAACUAGAGAUCAGACGGCAAAACGGACAUCACUUUUGAACUCAGGACAGUCGAAAACCUUAGGAGGAGCAUAAAAGGAAAAAUAUCAUUGUUCACAUGUACGAUAUUAUUCACAUGUACGGUAUUGUUUACGUUACUGUUCACGACACUGUUCACAUAGACGGAUCAAUGACGUGGCAUUGACCGAUGAUGUGGCAUUGACUGACGAGGUGACACGAUUCCAUUGGAGAAAAUUCUUAUGCACUGUUGAUUGGUGACGCGGCAGCAUAUCAGUGGACUAAAAAUCGCGCGUACAGUACAUGCAUAUACACAGGAUUAUUUUCAACCAAACCGUGUCACUAUUCAAACCAGUUGACUGUUCAAACCGUGUGGUCAAACCGUAUCACUGUUCAAACCGCGUGGUCAAACUGCGUACUGUUGACUGAUGACGUGGCGCAAUCCUGAGCGUUCAAACUGUUUUUAAUUCGAUAGCCAUUGUUUACUCAAUGUAUCUAUAAAAAUAGGACCUCUCCCCCCUAUUUUGAUAUCUCUGAAUUCAAUUUUAAGUUCCAUUUUCUAUAAUUCCUUCUCCAUCUUGUAUUUUCUACGUAUUUUAAUAAAUUCUUAUUUUGCUCCUAGUUCAAUUAUGAGUAGUUAAUUUUCUUUCAAGCUUGGGUUGAAGGUGAAGUCUCAACAUAUGUCAUGGGCUUUAUUUGGUAAAUUUAUUUUCUCUUCACCUCUAAUUUUUGUGGAUGUUUUGACUUUUCGUCGACAAAUAAUAAUAAUCUUGUCUAGAUACCGCACUGAUUUUACCGGCUCCCUAGUACAAAGUUAUUAUUAUUUGGUACGAUAAGCUCUUAGCACCAUAUUGAUUAGAGUGUGGUUCAUGAGGUGUGGAUUCCCCCCUCAUGAUUUAAUUGGCAUUAAUAAGAAAUAUUUAGCCCAUGGUGCAUGUUGAUGCGGAUCUAGAUACCCAAGCGCUUCAAUUAUUAUAGUUUCCAUUUUAAUUUAAUUCUGCCAUUUCAAUUUAAAUUUUAAGAUAUUCCAAAUCAUCUUUACCAUAAUUCCAACCACCCAUUUAGAAAAAUUAAUUCUACACACAAUUAAAAUCCACCUCCUCGUGGGAUCGACACUUGUCACCAUUGAUCUAUUCUAAAAUAGAUUCGUGCACUUGCGAGUUCAAUAAAAUUUGUACAACAUGUCUAUCAUAGGAACAUAAGCUCAGGUGGAGCUAUGUAUCUUUUGUUGUAUGUUGAUGAUAUACUCAUUGUUGGUAAAAAUUCUAGUGAUAUUGAGAAACUUAAGAAUUUAUUAAAGGGGGAAUUUGAAAUGAAAGAUCUUGGCAGUGCUAAGAUGAUCCUUGUUAUGGAUAUUCUUAGAGAUAGAGUUGUUGGUACUUUGUUUCUAAGCCAAUCAAGAUAUGUCAGUAAGGAGUUAGAAAAGUAUAUUAUGAUGGAUUCAAAACCUGUAAUGACACUUUUGGGAGCUCAAUUUAAACUCUCUAAUGAUAUGUCUCCAAUAUCAUAUGCUAAGAAAUUCUAUAUUUACUGGCUGUAGGAAGCUUAAUGUAUGCAAUGGCUUGCACCAGAGCAGACAUAGCUUAUGCAGUAAGUGUAGUAAGCAGGUUUAUGAGUAAUCCUGAUAAGCUUUAUUAGGAUGCUAUGAAAUGGGUUAUGAGGUACUUGAAACGUACUUUAGAUCAUGGUCUGGUGUAUGGCAAAUCCAAGCAAGAAGUCUAUGAAGUUAGAGGCUAUGUGGACUCUAAUUUUGCAGGUGACUUAGAUAGGAGAAAUUCUAUCUCUGGAUACCUGUUCAUGCUAGAAAAUUGUCUCAUAAGUUGGAAACUUACUUUACAACACAUAGUAGCUUUGUUAUCUACUGAGGCUGAAUUUUUGCUGCAAUAGAGGCAGUAAAAGAAUCAUUGUGGCCGAGAAGGCUACUGAAUGAAUUUUGGUUGAAACAAAAGACAAUUUAGAUCUUUUGUGAUAAUUAGAGUGCGAUUCAGCUUAUAAAAAAUGAAAUUUAUCGUGGGAGAACCAAACACAUUGAUAUGAAGUUGCACUUUAUCAGAGAUGAGGUCGCAAAAGGGUUUGUUGUAGUAACAAAAAUAUAUACAGAUAUCAACCCUACUGAUAUGUUAACAGAAGUAAUUCCAACAGCCAAAUUUAAGAUUUGUGUAGACUUGAUUGGUAUUGGAAAUGGUUCUAGUUGUUAAGUUGCGUGGUUGAAGGUUUUUUUUUUAAAGCACUUAUGGUCAAGAGUAAUGCUGAAUCAGAUCUGCAAGGUGGAGAGUGUGAGGACAUGAGUUAUGUUUUUGGACUAAAAUGUAAUCGAAUGAAAGUUGUUGGGUAAUGUGCAAAUCGACUUCAAAUGAGGAGUCAAUUUGUAAAUUCUGCGCUAAUGUGGCAAAAAGGUUAAAGGUUGUUAAGGUGUUUCUAGAAAAUUUCCAAAAUAUGAAAGGGCCUGCUGUGCAUUGCUUUGUGUGUGAUUUCUCUUUUGUUUCUUAGCUAAAAAAGGUGAUUCUAGAUUCUUUGGAAUCCUUGAAGUGUCCUCAAAACAAUUGAUCUGAUUGUAAAGCAUUUGAGUAAUGAGAUCUUGUUCAUUUUUCCUUUGAAACUUGGAAGCUUGUUCACUGUGAAUAGUUUUCUAGGUUCUUGUUUGACUGAAUCAUUUUCUGUUCUUGAUUCCAUUCUGUCUUUAAUUGAUCAAAGUUGUGUGAGUUGAUUAAUUUCUUGUUAAUAGCCAUUAAAAUACAACAGGAAAACUACCAAAACCUAACCCGAAAUUCGAAUGUUGCCAAAUCCUGAAUCUAAAUCCAAAUUUCUAAAUGUUGACAAAUCCUAAUCCUAACCCUAAAUCUGAUACUUGUUCAGCUUUGGUGGGAAAAUCUUUUAUAGAAGAUAGUUUUCUUCAUGGUUACGUUGGUGGUCUAUAUGAGGUUCAAACUAUGUGCGUACAAUGAAUUCAAGACCUUUAAUAAGGUUUAAUUUAAAUUUAUAGUGAAAGAUUAUCGUGUCUAUCUAAGGAAGUGAAAUCUUAUACUUCCAUUUGGGAACUAGCUAGCUUAUCGAAACAAGUUUUGAACAAUUUAAUUAUUAAUGUUCAAUUUUGAUGUACUGAUCUCGGAAGUUGGAAUAAUGGAGCACAAUUAAUUAAUUUCCUUGAUAUUUAAUUAGAAUGUGAAAUCUUUAUUUCUCUUUUGGGGAAGCUAAUUUAUUGCUGCAAGUUUUGCAACCUAAAAAUAGGUUCCCUUACUGUUAAAGUAGAUUGUCAAUGAACCGCUGUUAUUAAGUCCAAAAAUCAUAAACAUAAAUUGUAAAAUAAUUUAUUGUAGAUGACAAAAGAUGUAUUGGGCCGGACUCAACAAAGGGUGCGUUUUUUAUUUGGAAUCAGUGGAUGUCCUAUGGAACGCCUCAAGGUCCACUAAACAGCCACACAACUGUUAUGGUAAAAAAUGUUUUCAGGUCAGCGGAAGUUUUUUUGAAUAAUCAAUGGAGGAAAGUAAAAAAUACCCUUAGUUUGUAAGUGAAAUUACUACAUAUUUAUUUUGUUAUAUCAUUUAAGAUCAUGUCUUUUUCUGGUUGACGUGCAAUCUUGGCCAUGAAAUGGGACUCUUUAUUGCUUGAACAAUAGUUGAAAGAACUAAUUACUAAUCACAUGAUUUGUGGUUUAUACCUCCAUCAGCCAGAAUCAUACAAUUGUAAACAACUAUUGUCGUGUAGAAAAAAAUCAAGAAUAAAGUUAAUUUGUAUGUUUUUUUUUUGCCAUAAGAUAUAUAUAUAUAUAUAUAUAACUGAUUUGUUCCUAUAGAUUAUGAUAUGUUUGUAAACAACUUUCAGGUUGAUUUGCAAUUGAAAUAUUGUUCUCGUCUGCCAUAAAUUAAUGGAUUAUUUUUGUUGUUAAUUGACUCGUCUAUGAAAUUAAAGAAAACUGGAAAUACUUUAGAGCCAUAAUUUCUUUAAAAACUAGUUAUUAAUUUGAUAAAUGAUGAACAUUCAAUUCUUUAAUUGGAUAAAACUUAAAGCCUGCAGAUAAUCAUACAUAUUUUAGGCAAUUUUCUUUUGCUCAAAUAUUAUAAUGUGAAUGUGAAUGAUGUGGUGCUCCUAAAACACCCAACGCCCAAGACUUUUUUAUAAUAGAGUAAAUUUAACUUAGACAUGUUUGGCAACGGAGUAAAGUUUGGGGAUUUUGUUAUGUAUGCUCAACUACUUUGUGCACUGAGUUCUAUCAAGGUAAGCACUGUACAGUCCAUUAUCAGACUCAGACAACUAUUAUAGUGUACUCCUCUUUCUUGUCAUAUUUUUCCUUUUCAAACGUAAUUAAAGAAAUUACAUAUUCAAAUGAAAUGACAUACCAAAAGGAGCCUAGUCAUAAGUCCAGCAAGCUUUAUCAUUCAAAGUAGCCCCAAUUGUGAUUUGUCAGAAGGCUUAGAAUGAAGGACAAAAAUCCCAAGAGAAGAGCCUAAUAAAAAAUUAGAGCAAAACAAUAAUUCCAUUGACCGAUAUCAUUUAUAAAAGAACCUUUGAAAAAAAGAAAAUUAUGCACUUUUUAUUUUGGGCGAUACGAGAUGCUUUCCAAACAGCAUGUGUUAAGAAAUCCCAAAAAUUGUACACGUGUAAAAAAUUACUGGCUGAUUCGACGGAUGAGGUUGGCUUUUUGCCCCUUUUUUUUUUUUUUGUCAGGAGGAUGUGGUUGGCUUUUCAUACAAAUAAGGGCAAAUUACCCUAUUUAUAAAUUAGUAAAAGGGACACUUGGAAUCCUUCUAAGUUCAUUUUAAAAAAAAAAAAAAUUCUGAAAAGCUAAUGUUUCUUAUCCGACAAAGAGAACUUUUAUCUUCUUAUCAUGAUUUAUGAAUACUGAUUUUGAUGUUUUCAAUCCAGCUCAGAAAUUUUUUUUCCUUUGAUCAUGAUUCAUGAACAAUGUGUUUGAUGCUUUAACUGUGCAGUUUUCAUCUCCCCAGGUGGAAAGUUUUGAGUAAAAAGUCAUAGAUUUUCUUUGAAUCUUUUAUUAAACUUGUCAAAAGAACAUGCUACCGACAUUACAAAGAAAAUCUGUUUUCUUUUUUUCCCGUUUUUCGGGCAGCCGAAUGCAAUCGAAACAAGUUUCGUACCGUUGUAAACUUGUAUACUUGAUGGUCCCAAUCAGUGGCUGCCUGUUUCUAAUAUCGAAGUAAAAAAAAAAAAGUUAUUUUUCCGAUUGCAGAUAUAUUUAUUUUGAUUAAAAUUGGCUAUCACAAAUAGAUUAAUGCAAAAUUGGUCAUCAUGUGUUUGAUUAAUUUAUCCUAUUUUUCGUUAUUAGUUUUAAGCUUUUCUUUCAAGUUUUUUUUUGGGACAAAAUUUUCAAAUUUUCUAUGGCCAUAAUCAUAUGUUGGGGUUUGUAUCAGAAAAAAGUUUUUAAGUAUUUGUAUGGAAAAAGACAACUUAUCCUACGUGAAAGUUUUAGAAGCUCCUUUGAUCGGUUAGAUUUUUAAUAAGGAUAUUUUCUAAUUAAUUUUAUAAGUAUAUAUAUAAACUUUUUUUUUUCAUGUGGACAGCUUAUUGUUUAUUUCAUAUGCCACGUUAUUGAGUCAUAUGAUUUAAUAAAAUUAGUACAAACAUAUUAUUAAAUUACAUGAUUUUAUAAUAUAUUAAAUAUUGAUUUUAUUAAAACAGAUGAAACCCUUGUACUUGAGAAUGAAAGUUUGUAUACAUUAGGACGUCACCAAAAUAUUUUGAGAUAUUAAAUUGAUUAGUGACACACCAGAAUAUCAAUGCCGAGAAGAGAACGAGAAGAACUAGUGUGGAGAAAAGGGUACAAGAAGAAUUGCUUUCAUUUCAUGGACCCAAAUUUACGCCGCUAAUUGAGAACGGGAGUUAGUGGAAGGCUUGACUUUUCAGUUUCGAAGAUAUACAUAAAUAUUUCAGUAUUUAUAAACGGAAAAUAUUAAAAAAAACUCAGAUGUUUGGACUGAUUAUUAAUUUUUACAUUGUGAUAACUGAUAUCACUAAAAAAAGGAAAAAGAAUUAAGGAAAGAAAGGAAAUUAAGUUAUAAAGAAAUUAGGGUAUAUAUCCUAUAUUUUAAUUUAAAUAUCUUUUUUGUCCACAUAUUUUAAAAAAAAAUGUAAAGACAUCCUAUUUUAAAUAUGUUACGAUCUUCCUCUUAUUUUUUUCUUACCUUUUACAACAAUACUAACAAUAAUAUUUUUGGCAUUAAUUUUUUAUCUAAAAAAAUAAAUAGCAUAUUAACCAAUAUAUUAGAAAAUUAGAAAUAAAUAUCAUUCUACAACAACUAGUAACCAUUUAUGAUAAAUUAAAACCAACUAAUUUAAAGCAAUGUUUAAGCUAAGUUAAUUUUUUGUAAAAAAAAAUUAAUUACCAAAUUAAUCCUAAAAUUAAGAUAACAAAAAAUAGAUAGAGUAAUUUUUAUCUUACUUUUAAGACUAAUUUGAUAAAUUCAUUUUUUUUUUCUUUUCAUUGAAUCUCCAACAAUAUUAUUGUAAGGGUAUUAUUCUAAAAUCAAAGAAAAGAUCAGGGUAGGAAUGUAAUAUAUUUACCAGUAAAGAUGUCUUGAAAUAUUUUCUAAAAUAAAGAGAUUAAAUGGAUACUUAACUGAAAAAUACACAGACCAAAUAAGUAUUUAGCUGAGAAAAUAUGAUACCAUGUUAUUAGUUAUUAAUUAACAAACCUAAAAAAAUUUAAAUCACUCAAAUGAGUACAAACCACAUAUUUUUUUGUUAAAAUUUGUGUAAAGUCUAGUGCAUGUGUAUAUAUAUAAACAAAGUAGGUAGAUAAUUAAAAAUAAACAUGUCUGAGUUUCAAUAUCUGAAAGCUCGAAACAAGUAUGAGUUUAAGAUUUUCCAAUCUACAAUUAAUUCAGUUACAUUAAAAAACAAAUUUCCUCAAAAUUUAUUGAAAAUUAGUUAUUUAAAAUUAUAUUUUGUACAAUUAUUAUUCAAAUUUAAUUUGAAAAAGUUUAAUAUAGAUGGCGGUCAAUCAACAACCCACUCGAAAGAUUUGAUUUAUUUUCUUUUAUUUUAUUUCUAGUUCUUUUGACAAGUCAAGCCAGCUAGAUUUCAAGCCACAACAAAUGCGAAGUCUAGAAAAACCUAACAAGAGAUAAACUCUAUGUUCAAAUUUAUCACAAUUCACCAGCACGUGGCAGACAUAACGUCCAUUUUGCACUCUAUAAAUACCGUACUCCCAUCACCAACAUUUGCAUAUCACUCACAUUUCUCUACUCCUAAACAAAAUGGCUCCACUUAACAUGAAAAAAAAUAUUGUAACCUUUGCUCUUGUGGGCAUUCUUGCCCUAGCUUUUCCCACCAAAGUAAUGUGUCAAAAUGUUGCUAGCAUUGUGACUCCCCAGUUCUUCGACGGCAUAAAGAAUCAGGCAGCCGCGAGUUGUGCCGGCAAGAGCUUCUACACGAGAGAUGCGUUUCUGAAUGCUGCCAAGGCUUAUCCUCAAUUUGGUAGCGGCUCUCCUGAAGUUUCGAAGCGUGAGAUUGCUGCAUUUUUUGCACACGUCACUCAUGAAACUGGACGUAAGUUCUCUCCAUUUUAUUUCUUUUUGCAUGCAAAGUAUUUAUGAGCAAUCCAUGCAUAGAGAAGAAAACGACUUUUCUUUGUUUUAUUAUUUUCAAAACCGUUUUUGAAAUUUUUUAAAACUAUAUCCCCCAAGGUUGGAAUGAACAUAAUCUUUUUAAUUACAUGCUUUAUAUGUAUUAAAUAAUGUUCUCAGUUUGUUGAACACAUAAAAGUUUUCAAUAAAACUAAUUGAAUACUCCAACUUUUAAUUGAUAUGAUUUGCCACUAGCCAAUUAUCUUGAUUAAGCCCGGAGAGAAUUAAUUAGAAAAAAAAAUGUCUGGCUUUUUCAGAUUUGUGCUACAUAGAAGAGAUUAACAAGUCCAACCGGUACUGUGAUGAACAAAACAAACAGUACCCAUGUGUUCCCGGAAAGUUCUACUACGGCCGUGGACCGAUCCAACUCACCGGAAAUGGAAACUACGGAGCUGCCGGAAAAGCCAUCGGGUUUGACGGAUUAAGAGCUCCGGAAACGGUGGCCAAGGACCCCGUUGUGUCAUUUAAGACUGCCUUGUGGUUUUGGAUGACCAAUGUGCACCCAGUUAUGAACCAAGGUUUUGGUGCAACAAUUCAGAGAAUCAAUGGUGCCGUUGAAUGCGGUGGCAAGCAACCUGCUCAGGUUCAAGCUCGCAUUGGAUAUUAUAAGGAUUAUUGCAACAAAUUUGGUGUUGCUCCUGGCCCAAAUCUCUCUUGUUAAAAUGUUUUCGCCGAUACUUCACUGGCUUGUUGAAAUAAUGUGGUGUAAUUUUAUAAUAUAGGGUGGUUUCAUAUACCUAAAACAAAAUAAAUUGAAGUAAUAAAAGGGUGUUGCCGACCAUAUUUUAUUGCUUAUAUGGUUUGUGAUUAAUUAUGCUUCUUGGAGAAACUCCACCUUGAUUUAGCUUUGGCUUUUUUUAGGAAAAGCAAUAUGAUAGAUGUUUGUCAGUGAAAAAAGAAACUAACUUUAUACAACGAGCAAUACUAGCUUUAGUGAUUGAUUGUCGGAUUGGACACCAACUUUAAGUAACCCAGCUUUUUCAUAACAUAAUAUUUGUAACAUACAACUUGAAAAAGAUGAUGAAUUAAUAACUUAAUAAAUGUAACAAAAAUUUUGAUAACAUGUGUAACAUAAAAAGAAGGUAACAAAUUAUUUGUCAACAAUAAUUGGUUCAGAACGAGACAAUUCACUUGCCAAAACAAGACAAUAUUUCCGUGGAAUUAUGCGGAGAAUCGUGUUAGAUAUUAGGACAAAGGAACCUAUGUGACAACUGUUGUACCUUUUUUUGUGAUGCUAAAUUUUAUUCAACCUCCUUACUUUCUUACGUAUUUAUAAUUUAUUAAAUAAAUCAAUAUAUUUAUAAGAUGGCUGAUAGCGGGCACUGGGCAGCUUUUGUUGGGGCUCCCAGUAAGCUAAAUCAACGAAAAUUGUUAGGAAAUUGACUGUGCUAACUUGUUGUUUACGAGACUUUUCAAGUCUUUAAAAGAUAUUGUUUUAUAUGUAGGUUAUGUUAACUUGUUGCUUAGGAGACUUUUUAAGUCUUUAAAAGAUAUUUUUUUCAUGUCUAGGUUAUGCCAACUUAUUGCUUACACGACUUUUGAAGUCCUUAAAAGAUAUUGUUUGAUAUGUAGGCUAUGCUAACUUGUUGCUUGAUUUAUUAAUUAAAAUUAGGGAGAAUGGCAUUCCGUCUAUCUUAUAAUUUAUUUUUGUGACUUGAGUUUCAAAUAAAUUUAUAAUUCAAUUUGUUCCAACUUUUAAACAGUGAAAAAAAUGCAUAACUAAAGGAUAAAUGAGAACUUUUCACAUACAAAUUGACUAUCCAUAAUUAUUAAAAUUAGUUAAUUAUUUAUUGAAGUUUAUAUUUUCUCUUUAACAAUAUUUUUUUCUUAUUAUUGUAACAUAAAGAAAAAUAGAGUCUUAAAAAUUAAACAGUGAUCUAAAUAUAUAAAAAUACAUUCUCAUAAUGACCUAAGUCUAGUCUCUUUUUAAAUAAAUCCUUACUUAAGUAAUAAGGAAACUGAUAUGAUAAAAUUGGAUCUAGUCCAACCACUGGUGCAUUUAUAAGCUAUAGUCGCGUACAAUUAAGACUUAAUUACAUAUAAUACAUAUUAUUUUUUACGUAUGCAAUAACUACCGAUCACCAUAUAUAUUUAAAAAGCUCAGCUAAUCUAAAUUCCCAUAUAUUUUUUUAUAAAAAUUAGAAAACUUGCCUGAAUUUGUCGGAUUAAAUUUCUGGUUACAGUCUCCUCACGCAACUCAGUUAGGCAGUCCAAACAAGAAAAGACAAGCAAAGAAGAAAAUAUUAGCCGACUACAAACUUGACCAGUCAAUUUGGUGAAAAGUAUAUACAAGACUUGAUUGAAUUUAUUAUAUUAAUUAUAGAAAUUAGUCUUCUGAUCUUCUAGACACGAAUUUUUCUAUGAAUUAUCAUUCUAUAUAAAGUGACGUGUAGCUAUUGUAUAACUGCAUGUGAUACAUCAUUUAUGCUCAUUAAUUUGCAUAGAUUUGUGUACUUAAAUUUAGCCAAUACAUUUUCAUGUCACAUUACUGCCACUAAAUCAUUCAUCAAUGAAAAUAGAAAAAGUUAUCCCAACAGGUCGUGGACGUAUCUUGCAAAUUAAUCUUUUACAGAAGAGAUCUUCAGAUCUAAUAAUAUAUCAAGUCUUGCGCAUAUAUAUGGUCUAGAGAAGAUAUUGCAAUUCUAUUAAUGAAAAAUAGGGAAAAAAAAUUAAGGCCGAUAACUCUCUUCAUGUAAAUUCAAUAUUGUUUUGUCCUUGUUUCCUUUUUGUUAUAAUUAUUAUUUGAUUGCUCAUGUGUAAUUGAAAAUUCAUAAUACUAAAUUUCUCUUAAAAUAAGCAGGCCCAAAUGGAAAAUAUCUUUGGCAAAAUUUUCCACAAAACUAUUUUGUUACAUUAAUUUAUAAGGUCCGCCUACCGUGCAACAGUUACACGGUACCACUGAAUUUUGUCUUUUUCAAACAAUUACACUACAUUACCCAAUAUUUUUAAGAAAACUGAAUAGAUACUAUAAGUUACAAAUUUUUAUAUAUAGGUCAUUUUCUCUGGAUAAAAUUAUAAAAUGACUUUUGAAAAAAAAAUUAACUGUUAUUAUUAGUAUUAUUUAUUAAUGUCAUUAUUAUUAUUAUUAUUAUCAUUAUUAAAAUUUAUUAUUUUAAUUGUUAUGAUUGCUUUAAUUAGUUAUCAUUAUUAUUAUUAUUUAUUGAUUUUAUUACCGUCACUAUUUUUAAAAUAUAUUAAAUUUAUUACUGAAUUAUUAUUGAAUUAUUAUUUUAUUAAUAUUAAUAAAUUUAUUAAUCUUAUUAUUCUAAUUAUUAUAUUUAUAUUAAUGUUGUCGUCGUCAUCAUCAUUAAACUUUAUAAUUUUUUUUUUGUUUUGACUAUUAAAUAAUACCACUGUCAUUAUUAUUAUUUUGCCUUAAUUAAGCAUUACAUAUAUUUUAAUUAUUUUUUUUAUUUUUAUUAAUUAUAAUAAAAAUAAAAAAAUAAAUUAUACUAUAAUAUUAUUUUAUUAUAUCAUAUUAUAUUUAUGUAAAAAUAAUUAUGCAAAUAAUAAUUUAAUAUAAUUAAUAAUAAAUUUAAAAAAAUUUAGUUUAAUAUUAGUACAAAAUUAAUGCAGUACAGGAUAAUACCAAUUACCAAAUGUUGUAUAAUUUUAUUAUAAUUAUUAUAAUAUACUGCUAAUGUAAUAUAAUAUAAUAUAAUACAUGUACAUUACAUAAUACAAUGCAAUAUAAUAUAAUAUAGUGUGCCAAACGGACCUUUAACUUUUUUAGUGAUGAUGGUUUAGAGGGAUGUAGAGAAAGUAAAAAUAAUCAUGGUAGAUCUUUUACAAUGGUUGAUUAGCUAUUAUCACAAAGUUUAGGCUAAUACAAUAAAAAUUAACCAACUAUCCUAUAUUUAAAAGAGCAUUUGGAAAUCAAUAAAUUUAUUAUUCAAUUAUUUUUAAUCAGGAAUAAAUAAUAAAUUAUCAUUACAACAAGAUUGACAAGCUCAAAUAUCUUAAAAAAUGAUAAUCCUCAAGAAAUAUGAAGCUCAAAUGCUCUUGAAAUAUUCUUUAAAAAAAAAACUAACUUCCUUUCAUAUUAUUCUUUAUUUAUCUUUCUAUAACUUUGUUGGGCUAUAUAUAUAUUGAUAUUUUAUAGGUAAAUUAACAUAUUGUAUGUAUAAAUAAACUAACAUAUCAACUAAUGCUAAAAACAAAAAUGUAAUAAAAAAGUAAAGUUUUGUAAUAUUAAAAUAAUAAAAUUUUACAACCUAAGACUUAUUUAUUUAUUUUACAUUAAAUAUAUAUUAAAUAACAAAAAAUAUUAUUUACAUUUAUCAAAUUUUCAUGUGUUUAAAAAUUUUAUGUGAUAUUACAUUAUUAUAUUUACACCAUCAAUUAUUUUUAUGAUCAAAUUAAGUCAAUAGAUCAAACUUUAAAAAAUUUAAAACAACAGAAAUUAUGUAAGUGAAUACUUAAAACUUUUAACUUUUAUAAUUUUGUAGUAAAUAAUAGGAACUUAAGUGUUAAUAACUAAUUGAACACAUCCUAACUGUUGAACACUUUAGCUAUUGAUCCAUUGGCUGAGUUGAAAAAAGAUAAAAAGUGGGGUACCGUGCAACUGUUGCACGGUAGGCGGACCCUAAUUUGUAAUCUAUUUUCGCAUCUAUCAACUCAAAAUAUGGCACUAAAAAUUAAAAGUGGGUCUGAACAUGGACCCAAAUAAGUUAAAUAAACGAAUAUACAUUAUAACUUAGGACACUUGGGAUCAUUAUAGCAAUUGCUUACUGAAAACGUUUAGAAAAUUUUAAGACGAUGGACCAUUUUAAUUGCCUGACACUGGAAAUUGCUAUUAUCACGUGAUGGUAAAGUUACAGGAACGGAAUUUUUGUAAAGUACAAAUGUAACGUACUGUCAUAACCGGCAAUGCCAAAUUUGAAAUAUUUAUAAGUUUUCAAGAGGUUAUCAGAUGACAUUGUAAAUGAUUGUGAUGGCUUUUUUACAAUUUCAAGUUAAAAUGAAAUUUUGGAUGUUAUCUAAUUGUUUUCUUCAUCAUUUCACUGUUACAUAAUUGUCAAUGAUUGUGAUGGCUAAUUUACAAUUUCAAGUUAAAAUGAAAUUUUGGGUGUUAUCUAAUUGUUUUCUUCUUCAUUUCACUGUUACAGAAUGAUUUGAACAAAGACUACGAGUUCGUUAUAUCAAUUUGAACUAAACUUUGUAAGUAUAACACUAAGAAUUUUUCGUGUGCCACAAUUUGCGCAACUAAUUGAGGGGUGGACUAGAUUAGUUUUGACAGCUAGAAUAUAAUUUGACUGACUUUACGAUAUACAAAAAUAUUGAUCACAAUUCUUCAUCAUUCGGUGCCAACGUUUACAUUUUUCGAAAGUAUACAUUGAACAAUAAUAGCGUAUAAUUUGAUUCACUGUAUCUAUAUACUUGAAAUAGACUAUUCAUGCGGCUUGUCAUUUUUAUUAGAAUCACACUACGUUACAUUAAACGUAACGUACACACACUCACAGCAACAGUAACAGGUCUCAUUUUGUUACUGUUACUGUGAGUGUGUGUAUGUUACAUUUAUAUAGCACUCGCCUUUUUAUUAACGUCUAACUUCUUCAAUUCAAUGUUAAAUCACUAUCAAUCAUAAAAUAUUAUUAUUUUACAUUUUGUGAAAUAGAGACCUCACAUUAGAGCCAAGGGUAAAGCUAUGGUACCACAACUAGAUCCAACCAUUAGAUCAAGCCCACAGUUGUCACUAGAACUGGAUCCAAUGGCUGGGUCCAGCUAUAGUACUAUAUAACUGUGGCACCCUAGCUGGACCCUAGAGCCAAACUGCAUAACGUCCAUAAAUUUUCAUUCAUAUCUCUUCAAUUUUUCAAAAUUUUCAUGUACAGAUCAAGUCAAGGUAAGUCUAUUGGAACCGUAUUCUACACGAACGAAAAGUAGGCACAAAUUAUUAAAUGUCCAUAAAUUUUCAUUCAUAUCUCUUCAAUUUUUCAAAUUUUUCAUCUACAAGUCCAAGUCAAGGUAAGUCUAUAGGAACCGUAUUCUACACAAACGAAAAGUAGGCACAAAUUAUUAAAUUAUCACAGGAAAAAGAGGUAAAAUACUUGUUUACUACCUUAUAUUUUGAGUUAAAUGUCCAUUUAAUUUUUAUAUUUUAAAAAAUAAUAUAGGAUAUUUUUGUCAUUAAUUAUGUUACAGAUUUACAGUUAAAAGUUACUUUAUCUUUGUUUUACAAUAAUAUUCUGCAAAUAUUGAAUAAUAUAAGAUAUAGGCUCAAGCAACAAUCUAUUGAAAAAAAUAAACGUUAAUUUUUUAUCUUUUUUAAAGUUAAUUUGUUAAAUUAACCUUUUUUUUUCAUUUCAUUAAUGUUCACGGAAUUGUUGUUUUGGUCCACAUACCCUGUUAGUCAACAUCGCAACAUUGCAAGGGUAUUAUUGUAAGAAUAAAAAAAUAAUAAAAUGUGACAUAAAUAAUGACAAGAAUAUCUUGGAGUAUUGUCUAAAGCAUAUAUUUAAUCCAAAAUAUAGGGACUGGAUUUAAACAUAAGAGCUCUAUAAAACCCUUGCUCUAUGAAUCAAUUUUGCACAUCACAACUUCUCUUUUUGCUGAGCUUAAAAAAAUUCCUCUCAAAAUGGCUCUGUUCAAUCUUAAUAAAGAUUCACCAACCUUUCUUUUGUUUGCAAUUUUCACAUUGGCUAUUCCCACAAUUGUAUUGUCUCAAGUGGCCAACCUUGUGACACCAGAAUUCUUUGAUGGGAUAAAGAACGUAGCCGAUCCAAGCUGUGCAGGCAAGAGUUUCUAUACAAGAAAUGCUUUUCUUAAUGCUGCCAAUUCAUAUCCUGAAUUUGGAUCUGGUUCUGCUGAUGAAUCUAAGCGUGAAAUCGCGGCAUUUUUCGCUCAUGUCACUCAUGAAACUGGACGUAAGACUUCUGUCCUUGCCUUAUUCAUUUUGCCCUUAUUCUUUGGUAGUCCACAGGGGUAUGAUAAAUUUUGUGCGUUCUAACAUGCAAGAAUUGAAUCUUAAACUCACUCGAGAACCUCUCUUCGUCGAGGGAAUAAUUUCACAUUGGCUGAGAAUAGUGCUUACUUUAUAAUAAGUUUGAGAUGAUCCACUGCUUUUAAACUAAUUAAUUUUUUUUUAUCCAAAAUAUUUAUGUUUCAACUAGGAUGAGGUUUUUCUCCUAUUCCAAGACCGGUGGCGUUGGGUUGGAAGGAGAUGAGGGGGGAGAUGAAAGUAAUUUGAAUUUAUUUUUCAUUUCAGUUGUUUGGUUGGUUAUAAUCUAUAAGAAUUUAAUCUCUAUUAAAAUUUAAUAUCUAUCAUAAUGUUAAAUUUGGAUUCCACACCAACGAAUGAAGAAUUCAAAAUCCUCCUCUACUGGAAACCAAAACUUCCAACUAGCCCUUCAAUCUUCAUGAACUUGUUUAAUGUUAUGAGUAAUUAUUAUUUAUAAUUCUGUUUUUAUCAGCUUAAUAUUAUAUAUAAUUAAUUUUAUAUGAAAUAAAGUUAAAAGUACCAAUUUAAACAACUUAAUAAAUAACUUUAUUUAUUUAAUUAAUUUAAAAAAAAUAAAGAUAAAUUUUUUAAAAAUGAUUAGAUUGUCACCGCUCUGCUACCAAAACUGGAGCAUGGAAUGUUGCCAUCGGUACCAAUUGGACUCGGCAAUCAAUGAACAAAGUCACUCAAAAAUAGGAUGAAUUUUGUUCAAAUCCAGUUGAAAAGGUUUGAAAACCUUUUGGUUUCCAUAGAUCCGAACAAAUAUCAAAUUUUUUGACCAUAUAAAUUAAUCCGCUAUAGAGAUUGUCGAUUUCUAACCAUUUUGGGUUUUUAAGUAAAAUUUUAUAAAAUUACAAUAUAUUGAAUGAGAAAUUAUUUCUAUUAUCUUAUAAUUUUUUUAAAAAUAAAAUUAUGCUUUAUAAAAAAUUUAAAAUAUAUAAAUACAGGUAUAAAAAUUAAAAUAAGUUUUAUUACUUAUUUUACAUAAUAUAUUAAAUAAACUGUUUAAUUUUUUGAAUUAUAUUACUUAUAACAAAUAUUGAAAUUUUAAAACUAAAGGAUAAAACUGUCCAAAUAAAAAAAUGAAUUUCUCUUCUUUGAAAAAUUAUGUAACAAACUAAAUAUUAAAAAGAAUUCUACUCCUCUCCUCUCCUUUUUCUCUUGUUUCCUCCACUUUCCUCUGCUCUCAUUUCCCCACCUUCCUUCAAACCAAACAACACUUUAGUGUGCAUUAUUAUUUAUGUGUAGUCAAGAUUUCUUUUUUAAUUAUUAUUUUAUUUUUUUAGCAGGAACCAAUCAGUAACUUAUAUGUUUCUAACGCUGAUAGACAAUGUUAAGAAAAAAAAAUGAUUCUGACUCUUAAAACAUAAUCUUGAUUUUUUUGUGUUAUAAUUUGAUAAAUAAAAAUUUAAUAAUUGCCACUUUAAAACAUCAAAGCAUUUCCAAGUCUAUAGAAAAUGACCUAGCUAAAACUAAUAACAAUGAAGAUGUUAUUAUUAUUAUUAUUAUUAUUAUUAUUAUUAUUAUUAUUAUUAUUAUUAUUAUUAUUAUUAUAUCGGAUUCGACGGUCUAAACUCACCGGAAACGGUGGCCAAUGACCCAGUUAUAUCUUUCAAGACUGCCUUGUGGUUUUGGAUGACCAAUGUGCACUCUGUUGUAAACCAAGGCUUUGGGGCAACCAUUCAGAGAAUCAAUGGUGCUCUUGAAUGUGGUGGCAAGCAGCCCGAUAAAGUUCAAGCUCGUAUCGGAUAUUACUGCUGUACCGUACAUCCGGUCUUGUUAAUUAAAAUACGCUUUGCGUGCAUGAACAAAAAUGCAUGUAGUACUUACUACAAGACUAUUAGAAUAAAGAGUUGUUUCAAACAACUUGUUUACUUCCACUGUGGUGGCUUUUAUACGCACUCAGAAUGAAAUAAAGAGUGCAUGUUACAUUAUUUUGUAACUUGAUAAGGUCCAAAUAAAUAUCAGUUUGUGUACGUAAUUAUAGAAAUAUUAUUUGCCUUUCUAUCUUUCUUUGAUUUUUUCUUUAAUUAUUAGCUGUAUAAGGCCUGUACUGUAAUUUUGUGUUUUAAGUAGCCA
Molecule: long non-coding RNA, 21856 nt
Filed under: Citrus sinensis (sweet orange)
Lineage: Eukaryota; Viridiplantae; Streptophyta; Magnoliopsida; Sapindales; Rutaceae
Description: long non-coding RNA (CSIN_LNC002232)
Source: RNAcentral